This 1477-nucleotide ribosomal RNA is filed under the name Pseudomonas sp. RNAcentral describes it as "bacterial SSU rRNA". It matches the Rfam family "Bacterial small subunit ribosomal RNA". Lineage: Bacteria; Pseudomonadati; Pseudomonadota; Gammaproteobacteria; Pseudomonadales; Pseudomonadaceae. The record is from RNAcentral.
CCCUUGACUUCUGACCGACUGCAGUCGAGCGGAUGAAAAGAGCUUGCUCUUCUAUUCAGCGGCGGACGGGUGAGUAAUGCCUAGGAAUCUGCCUGGUAGUGGGGGACAACGUUUCGAAAGGAACGCUAAUACCGCAUACGUCCUACGGGAGAAAGCAGGGGACCUUCGGGCCUUGCGCUAUCAGAUGAGCCUAGGUCGGAUUAGCUAGUUGGUGAGGUAAUGGCUCACCAAGGCGACGAUCCGUAACUGGUCUGAGAGGAUGAUCAGUCACACUGGAACUGAGACACGGUCCAGACUCCUACGGGAGGCAGCAGUGGGGAAUAUUGGACAAUGGGCGAAAGCCUGAUCCAGCCAUGCCGCGUGUGUGAAGAAGGUCUUCGGAUUGUAAAGCACUUUAAGUUGGGAGGAAGGGCAGUAAGAUAAUACCUUGCUGUUUUGACGUUACCGACAGAAUAAGCACCGGCUAACUCUGUGCCAGCAGCCGCGGUAAUACAGAGGGUGCAAGCGUUAAUCGGAAUUACUGGGCGUAAAGCGCGCGUAGGUGGUUUGUUAAGUUGGAUGUGAAAGCCCCGGGCUCAACCUGGGAACUGCAUCCAAAACUGGCAAGCUAGAGUACGGUAGAGGGUGGUGGAAUUUCCUGUGUAGCGGUGAAAUGCGUAGAUAUAGGAAGGAACACCAGUGGCGAAGGCGACCACCUGGACUGAUACUGACACUGAGGUGCGAAAGCGUGGGGAGCAAACAGGAUUAGAUAUCCUGGUAGUCCACGCCGUAAACGAUGUCAACUAGCCGUUGGAAUCCUUGAGAUUUUAGUGGCGCAGCUAACGCAUUAAGUUGACCGCCUGGGGAGUACGGCCGCAAGGUUAAAACUCAAAUGAAUUGACGGGGGCUCGCACAAGCGGUGGAGCAUGUGGUUUAAUUCGAAGCAACGCGAAGACCUUACCAGGCCUUGACAUGCAGAGACCUUUCCAGAGAUGGAUUGGUUGCUUUCGGGAACUCUGAACCAGGUGCUGCAUGGCUGUCGUCAGCUCGUUGUCGUGAGAUGUUGGGUUAGUCCCGUACGAGCGCAACCCUUGUCUUAGUAUCAGCACGUUAUGGUGGGUCACUUCUUACGGAGACUGCGGUUGACAACCGGAGGAAGGUGGGAUGACGUCAGUCAUCCAUGGGUCAUACCGCUGGCUUACCUACGUGUCUAACAUGUCGGUACAGGUUGGACUAGUCGCGCAGUGUGGAGUCUAAUUCUCUCACAAUAACCGAUCGUAGUCCGGAUCGCAGUCUGCAACUCGACUGCGUGAAGUCGGAAUCGCUAGUAAUCGCGAAUCAGAAUGUCGCGGUGAAUACGUUCCCGGGCCUUGUACACACCGCCCGUCACACCAUGGGAGUGGGUUGCACCAGAAGUAGCUAGUCUAACCUUCGGGAGGAUCGGUUACCACGGUGUGAUUCAUGACUGGGGUACAGUCGAGCAGAGUACGACCAAUCU